AUUCAACAAAAAUAAUUUAAAUCUUCCAAUCGAAACAGGCCGUGAAAAACCAUAUACAACGUUGAGACUUUCUAGAUUUCAGUAAGGUGAUGUACACUGUUGAGUUCACACGGCUUCGCUUGGGGAUUUCCGACAAGCGUUCUGUCGCUGUCGCCGAGUGUGGUUCGGUGGAAGGCGCGCACAAGAAUUGUGUGUCUCGAGUUCAGUCGUUGUUACAACUCGAGUGCGACCGAACUCGCUGCGCUAAUUAUUGAUCAAGAAAAUAAUACACGUUAUACACCAAUCA
Long non-coding RNA from Drosophila willistoni, 286 nucleotides. RefSeq lists it as uncharacterized. The transcript has 2 exons. NCBI's taxonomy places the organism in Eukaryota, Metazoa, Arthropoda, Insecta, Diptera, Drosophilidae. The record is from RefSeq and is a predicted model, not a curated record.